This 215-nucleotide ribosomal RNA is filed under the name uncultured bacterium. Its description in RNAcentral is "partial 16S ribosomal RNA". It matches the Rfam family "Bacterial small subunit ribosomal RNA", at positions 1286 to 1500 of the family's 1533-position model. The record is from RNAcentral.
UCUCAGUUCAGAUUGCAGGCUGCAACUCGCCUGCAUGAAGUCGGAAUUGCUAGUAAUCGUAGGUCAGCAUACUACGGUGAAUACGUUCCCGGGCCUUGUACACACCGCCCGUCAAACCAUGAGAGUUGGCAACACCCGAAGUCGGUAGUCUAACCGCAAGGAGGACGCCGCCGAAGGUGGGGUCGAUGAUUAGGGUUAAGUCGUAACAAGGUACC